UACGUAGGGUGCAAGCGUUACUCGGAAUUACUGGGCGUAAAGCGUGCGCAGGCGGUUUGGUAAGACAGAUGUGAAAUCCCCGGGCUCAACCUGGGAAUUGCAUUUGUGACUGCCCGGCUAGAGGGUGUCAGAGGGGGGUAGAAUUCCACGUGUAGCAGUGAAAUGCGUAGAUAUGUGGAGGAAUACCGAUGGCGAAGGCAGCCCCCUGGGAUAACACUGACGCUCAUGCACGAAAGCGUGGGGAGCAAACAGG
This 253-nucleotide unclassified non-coding RNA is filed under the name uncultured Gammaproteobacteria bacterium. RNAcentral describes it as "contains 16S-23S intergenic spacer region". It matches the Rfam family "Bacterial small subunit ribosomal RNA", at positions 524 to 776 of the family's 1533-position model. Lineage: Bacteria; Pseudomonadati; Pseudomonadota; Gammaproteobacteria. The record is from RNAcentral.